This 119-nucleotide ribosomal RNA is filed under the name Pteropus alecto (black flying fox). Lineage: Eukaryota; Metazoa; Chordata; Mammalia; Chiroptera; Pteropodidae. The record is from RNAcentral.
GUCUAUGGCCAUGCUAUCCUGAACAAGCCCGAUCUGGUCUGAUCUCAGAAGCUAAGCAGGGUUGGGCCUGGUUAGUAUUUGGAUGGGAGACCACCUAAGAAUACCAGGUGCUGUAGAAG